Molecule: long non-coding RNA, 196 nt
Filed under: Neodiprion lecontei (redheaded pine sawfly)
Lineage: Eukaryota; Metazoa; Arthropoda; Insecta; Hymenoptera; Diprionidae
Description: uncharacterized LOC124293803
Source: RNAcentral
GUACUUUUCUUAUAUGCUCUGUCAGCGAAUACGUUUUCCGCAUACAACUCCGGCACGUGAUCGAAUAUCUACAUAGUUUGUAAAAGAUAUGAUACACGGUAUACACGGUAGCCCAUGCAUAAUUCAUAUCGGAAGAGCAGACGGUAAGUCAUGGGCUCUGUCCAUUAAUAUCAUGCAACCACACUGGCUGGCGGGA